UGUUCCUCUGCUGCAGUAUCCCUUCAGCCAGACAGUUUCACAGUGUCCAAAGCCGAUUCUCCGCGCUUGUUAAUUGAAUCGGAUUUCUUAUAGUUUAAAAUCCACACAGACCCAUGUACGGCCCAAACUGUAUAAGGGGUUUAUCUGAAUCUGUAAAGCCAUGGCAGAGAUAUAAAGAGAGCGCAAGAGACUAUACCCGCGUGUUGAACAUUUUUAAAUCUCAAAUAAACAUAUUUACCUGCGGCAUCUGCUGGUGCGCACAGCCUGAGUAGCCAAUGUGAUUUGUUUUAACAGUUCAACUUUGGAAUAUUUGCUUCAUGAGGGCACAUCACCUGCUCAACUAUCAGAACGUGUGUGUGCUGGUGGGCCCGGGUGGCGUGGAGGCAGGGUGGUUGAGUGUACAGUAACUUCUGGACCCCCUCGUCCCAUAUGGCAGCAGACAGCAGUGGUAAUCAAGGAAGUGGAGCAACACGCCUGAGCCCUGGUAAUCCCCGGACACACUCCGACACGUGCCGCACAGAAGCACACACACCACCUGCCGCGUGGACACACUCGGACACGCAACACACACACACACACAGACAUUGCAUGCGUAUAUUCCAGAUGCACAUAGAGACGUGAGCACUACAGACAGUGUCUUGGCUGACAGACAAAAUCCCCUUAUUCUGUUUACCGCCUGCCUUCCUUUGUGCCGAACAGUGUCUCCGUGCUGAGGAGUAAUCACAGUGUCACCAUUCAUUUGACACUGAAACCACAGUGCCAGAACCACAACGAGUGUCUGCAGGUCUUCAACGGGGUAUGGACAACCGUCUUCCACCAUAUAUUACCAGAUGAAGCGUUUAGUUGACGAAAGCCAUCGCAGGCCGCUAUGCCUGAGUCUCCCAGUAGUGUUAAGCAUCGGCUGACUCAGAUGUCGUGGUAUUCCUAAAAAACGCCGGCAAGUUGAGCGGUCCGGGUCACUGAAGCACCAGGCAAACACGCCUGACCAUCACCCACUCCUAGAGUCAUUGCUUGCCAUGCUUGGCAAAAUAACGGCCAGCUAAGCCUGGACUGUGGUGUUGUGGAUAUCUGCCGGUUGAGGACCAAGGACCACAGCCAUGUGGAAGCACUUUCAGUGUCAUAUCACCUGUUUACAUGGGUGUUACCUGUACAUUCAAUGGAGAUGAAUAAUAGCACUGUAUAUCAGCUCCACCUUUGGGACACACACUUGGGUCCACAUUUACCACCUGCCGACCUACCAAAACUCACAUUGCUCAUUACAGACAGAGACACACACACACACACAGCAACACACACAACCGUUUGCAUUGACGCACAAGGACACACGACCACAAUGGUCCUCUUAUUGUUAAUUGGCCGUUUAAUCCCGAGGAAUGUUUCUAAUUAGUAGAUGCUGGCGGCCAGGAUCUUACUCAAUCUGCUGCAUUACAAUGGACUGGCUGUAAUGGCGAUCUUGGAGCACACUCUCGCAAGCACACAGCUAAACAACCCGCCGUGCCCAGACGUUUACCCACAUACUCACCUCACCACACAUGCAGACACACACACAGCACUCACACACACACUCACACACUCACACACUCACACCCAAAGUUAGACGCUGUCGCCAUAUUUCUAGUCAUUCAUUCCCAUGGUUUUCGUCUCCCGCUGGGGUCCCAUGGUCUGUUCCGGAAGACGGUGACAUGCAGUUACUGUAUAUUAUGAAUUGCAUUUACAUUACACUGGUAUAUUGACCAUUUAGGAACAGCAUUUAAAGAUGAAAAAGCUACAAAUAGAGAUACACCUACCAUGAAUAACAGAUCAUAAUUUUCAAGAAAACACGCCUCCCUAAUUUUCUCAGAUGUACAGGCUGCACAUCAUUAUCCGCUUAUAAGUCGAACUGCUGGACGUCUCUUGUUGGCAAACAGAUUUCGGUGAGGCAUUGAAACCAGCGGCCUGAGAUGCAUUAUGAUGACAGGUUUUCAACAACUUAUUUUGAAGAUUACAGGAUCACAAUCACACCGUAGCGUUGAGCUCUCGUCCCCAAAUCUCCACGGCAGAUCUAGCGUGGCCUGGCACCAGAGUCCUACGAUGUGUUUGUCGUCAGUAGACCAGGCCUCAGUGGAAAAGCAAUGAACCAUUACCGUUUGCUAGAUUUGGUUGUGUGGUCCAACAGAGGGCUUUGUCGCCAUCGCGCUAAGCCGAUGCAUUGCUGUGCCUGCAAUGGUGAGUGAACAGUAGAAAACAAACCCUGCAAAUAUGCCCAUGAAGCCUCUAUAUUCGGCCUGACUGUGAUAUCACUUGUUGUGUUGAUGAUAGCAGUGCCACCAAUGAAGCUGUCAGGGCCUUUCAGAGCCUUUCAGGUUCAGGUUGUGAGACAAGGCCAGCGGGAGGCUGACAGUCGGAGCUGGGUGAUGAGAUCUCAGGGUCGUUGAAAGAGGAGGUUGGUUCAUUGUUGGGUCCGGAGCUUUGGGGACGAAGACUGCUCAACUUGUCGACUUUCGCAAUGCUCCAUGUCCAUCUUAGUGGUUACAUGUCAACCCUGGUGAACACUCACCAGAGGCUCAUUGUCUGAGGCGGUGCCUUCAGUGAUUACCGACACCUUCCACAAAAAACACCAAAUUAUGGAAUUUGGAAUAGAAUUUGUUAAAGAAGAACUGUGUUGUACGUCUCCGAUAGAGUCCGGUAGAGUGUCUAGAAUAUAUGUCAACCACAAAGGUGCAUCAGAGCUGUCUCGGUUCCCCUAAUAAGACACAAAUGUGCUGCUGUUUGCUUUCUUUUGGCACAUUUUCAAAUAGAUCAAAGGAUGUAGCAGGAGCGGUUGAGAAGAAUAUUGAGUGGAAAAAUAAAUGGGAGAGGAGGGUGCAGACAGCGGAUGGGGUCAGACACAUAACAUCGGGGGGGGGGCAGAUGCAGUG
Long non-coding RNA from Esox lucius (northern pike), 2897 nucleotides. NCBI's taxonomy places the organism in Eukaryota, Metazoa, Chordata, Actinopteri, Esociformes, Esocidae. The record is from Ensembl.